This 859-nucleotide ribosomal RNA is filed under the name Bacillus sp. CH95a. RNAcentral's name for it is "bacterial SSU rRNA". It matches the Rfam family "Bacterial small subunit ribosomal RNA", at positions 56 to 897 of the family's 1533-position model. Lineage: Bacteria; Bacillati; Bacillota; Bacilli; Caryophanales; Bacillaceae. The record is from RNAcentral.
UGCAAGUCGAGCGAAAGAAGGGAGCUUGCUCCCGGAUGUUAGCGGCGGACGGGUGAGUAACACGUGGGUAACCUGCCUGUAAGACUGGGAUAACUCCGGGAAACCGGAGCUAAUACCGGAUAGUUCCUUGAACCGCAUGGUUCAAGGAUGAAAGACGGUUUCGGCUGUCACUUACAGAUGGACCCGCGGCGCAUUAGCUAGUUGGUGGGGUAAUGGCUCACCAAGGCGACGAUGCGUAGCCGACCUGAGAGGGUGAUCGGCCACACUGGGACUGAGACACGGCCCAGACUCCUACGGGAGGCAGCAGUAGGGAAUCUUCCGCAAUGGACGAAAGUCUGACGGAGCAACGCCGCGUGAGUGAUGAAGGUUUUCGGAUCGUAAAGCUCUGUUGUUAGGGAAGAACAAGUGCGAGAGUAACUGCUCGCACCUUGACGGUACCUAACCAGAAAGCCACGGCUAACUACGUGCCAGCAGCCGCGGUAAUACGUAGGUGGCAAGCGUUGUCCGGAAUUAUUGGGCGUAAAGGGCUCGCAGGCGGUUUCUUAAGUCUGAUGUGAAAGCCCCCGGCUCAACCGGGGAGGGUCAUUGGAAACUGGGAAACUUGAGUGCAGAAGAGGAGAGUGGAAUUCCACGUGUAGCGGUGAAAUGCGUAGAGAUGUGGAGGAACACCAGUGGCGAAGGCGACUCUCUGGUCUGUAACUGACGCUGAGGAGCGAAAGCGUGGGGAGCGAACAGGAUUAGAUACCCUGGUAGUCCACGCCGUAAACGAUGAGUGCUAAGUGUUUAGGGGGUUUCCGCCCCUUAGUGCUGCAGCUAACGCAUUAAGCACUCCGCCUGGGGAGUACGGUCGCAAGACUGA